AGAGUUUGAUCAUGGCUCAGGAUGAACGCUGGCGAGAUGCCUUACACAUGCAAGUCAUACGAGAAUUUUUAAUUCAAGUGGCGGACGGGUGAGUAACACGUAAGAAUUUGCCUUUAGGAGGGGGACAACAACUGGAAACGGUUGCUAAUACCCCAUAUGCUUUCGAGUGAAACGGAAUUUUCCGCCUAAAGAGAAGCUUGCGGCUGAUUAGCUUGUUGGUGAGGUAAUGGCUUACCAAGGCGACGAUCAGUAUCUGGUUUGAGAGGAUGAUCAGACACACUGGAACUGAGACACGGUCCAGACUCCUACGGGAGGCAGCAGUGGGGAAUUUUCCGCAAUGGGCGAAAGCCUGACGGAGCAAUCUCGCGUGAGGGAUGACGGCCUAUGGGUUGUAAACCUCUUUUUUCAGGGAGGAAUAAAUGACGUGUACCUGAAGAAUAAGCAUCGGCUAACUCCGUGCCAGCAGCCGCGGUAAGACGGAGGAUGCAAGUGUUAUCCGGAAUCACUGGGCGUAAAGCGUCUGUAGGUGGUUUGAUAAGUCAACUGUUAAAUCUUGAAGCUCAACUUCAAAAUCGCAGUCGAAACUAUCAGACUAGAGUAUAGUAGGGGUAAAGGGAAUUUC
RNAcentral lists this ribosomal RNA (622 nucleotides) under uncultured Crater Lake bacterium CL0-4. RNAcentral's name for it is "bacterial SSU rRNA". It matches the Rfam family "Bacterial small subunit ribosomal RNA", at positions 8 to 670 of the family's 1533-position model. The record is from RNAcentral.